ACGGAAGGCAGCAGUGGGGGAUAUUGCACAAUGGGGGAAACCCUGAUGCAGCGACGCCGCGUGAGCGAAGAAGUAUUUCGGUAUGUAAAGCUCUAUCAGCAGGGAAGAAAAUGACGGUACCUGACUAAGAAGCCCCGGCUAACUACGUGCCAGCAGCCGCGGUAAUACGUAGGGGGCAAGCGUUAUCCGGAUUUACUGGGUGUAAAGGGAGCGUAGACGGCGAGGCAAGUCUGAUGUGAAAGCUCGGGGCUCAACCCCGGAACUGCAUUGGAAACUGUUUUGCUAGAGUGUCGGAGAGGUAAGCGGAAUUCCUAGUGUAGCGGUGAAAUGCGUAGAUAUUAGGAGGAACACCAGUGGCGAAGGCGGCUUACUGGACUGUAACUGACGUUGAGGCUCGAAAGCGUGGGGAGCAAACAGGAUUAGAUACCCUGGUA
RNAcentral lists this ribosomal RNA (434 nucleotides) under uncultured Ruminococcus sp. RNAcentral describes it as "partial 16S ribosomal RNA". It matches the Rfam family "Bacterial small subunit ribosomal RNA", at positions 341 to 792 of the family's 1533-position model. Lineage: Bacteria; Bacillati; Bacillota; Clostridia; Eubacteriales; Oscillospiraceae. The record is from RNAcentral.